This 680-nucleotide ribosomal RNA is filed under the name Salmonella enterica subsp. enterica serovar Dublin. RNAcentral's name for it is "partial 23S ribosomal RNA". It matches the Rfam family "Bacterial large subunit ribosomal RNA", at positions 568 to 1190 of the family's 2925-position model. The record is from RNAcentral. Lineage: Bacteria; Pseudomonadati; Pseudomonadota; Gammaproteobacteria; Enterobacterales; Enterobacteriaceae.
AUACGCAUCCUUUGCUGAGGAUACGGUUAACGGAGCGAAAGCGACGUUCAACCGCAAAAGAAGCAGAGGGGGCUUAGUGGUGGGGUGACUGCGUACCUUUUGUAUAAUGGGUCAGCGACUUAUAUUCUGUAGCAAGGUUAACCGAAUAGGGGAGCCGGAGGGAAACCGAGUCUUAACCGGGCGUUAAGUUGCAGGGUAUAGACCCGAAACCCGGUGAUCUAGCCAUGGGCAGGUUGAAGGUUGGGUAACACUAACUGGAGGACCGAACCGACUAAUGUUGAAAAAUUAGCGGAUGACCUGUGGCUGGGGGUGAAAGGCCAAUCAAACCGGGAGAUAGCUGGUUCUCCCCGAAAGCUAUUUAGGUAGCGCCUCGUGAAUUCAUCUCCGGGGGUAGAGCACUGUUUCGGCUAGGGGGCCAUCCCGGCUUACCAACCCGAUGCAAACUGCGAAUACCGGAGAAUGUUAUCACGGGAGACACACGGCGGGUGCUAACGUCCGUCGUGAAGAGGGAAACAACCCAGACCGCCAGCUAAGGUCCCAAAGUCAUGGUUAAGUGGGAAACGAUGUGGGAAGGCCCAGACAGCCAGGAUGUUGGCUUAGAAGCAGCCAUCAUUUAAAGAAAGCGUAAUAGCUCACUGGUCGAGUCGGCCUGCGCGGAAGAUGUAACGGGGCUAAACCAU